CGUAGGUGAACCUGCGGAAGGAUCAUUAAUGAGUUGUCAUGGGGUUCGAUGCUGGCAGCCAAUUUUUGGAUGCAUGUGCUUGCCCUAACAAUCAUCUUCCAAACACCUGUGCACAUUUUUGAGGGAGUCUUGAGUUGGUUGCUGCUCUUGGGUGAUUUUCUCACAUUCCCUUAAAUCAUUAUACGCUAUUAACAAUGUUGAACGUGCUCUGUGCCGCAAGGCUAUUAAUAUAAUACAACUUUUAACAACGGAUCUCUUGGCUCUC
RNAcentral lists this unclassified non-coding RNA (265 nucleotides) under plant metagenome. RNAcentral describes it as "partial contains small subunit ribosomal RNA, internal transcribed spacer 1, and 5.8S ribosomal RNA". The record is from RNAcentral.